AGGAUUAACGCUGGCGGCGUGCAUGAAACAUGCAAGUCGAGCGCGGUGUGAUGCGGGGUAACCCAAUUCACAUCUAGCGGCGAACGGGUGAGUAACACGUGAGCAACCUACCUUUGAGUUGGGGAUAGCCCUGGGAAACCAGGAUUAAUACCCGAUGUGGUCACAACAGGACAUCCUGAUGUGAGUAAAGGCGUAAGCCGCUCAAUGGCGGGCUCGCGGCCUAUUAGCUUGUUGGUGGGGUAACGGCCUACCAAGGCGAUGAUGGGUAGCUGGUCUGAGAGGACGAUCAGCCACACUGGGACUGAGACACGGCCCAGACUCCUACGGGAGGCAGCAGUUAGGAAUUUUCCGCAAUGGGCGAAAGCCUGACGGAGCAACGCCGCGUGAGUGAAGAAGGCCUUCGGGUUGUAAGCUCUUUGUCAGGGACGAUAAUGACGGUACCUGAAGAAUAAGCCCGGCAAACUUCGUGCCAGCAGCCGC
RNAcentral lists this ribosomal RNA (480 nucleotides) under uncultured bacterium. RNAcentral's name for it is "SSU rRNA". It matches the Rfam family "Bacterial small subunit ribosomal RNA", at positions 26 to 518 of the family's 1533-position model. The record is from RNAcentral.